Molecule: transfer RNA, 87 nt
Filed under: Lentisphaerota bacterium
Lineage: Bacteria; Pseudomonadati; Lentisphaerota
Also listed under: 2 other names
Description: Lentisphaerae bacterium (invertebrate metagenome) tRNA-Leu
Rfam family: tRNA
About the family: Transfer RNA (tRNA) molecules are approximately 80 nucleotides in length. Their secondary structure includes four short double-helical elements and three loops (D, anti-codon, and T loops). Further hydrogen bonds mediate the characteristic L-shaped molecular structure. tRNAs have two regions of fundamental functional importance: the anti-codon, which is responsible for specific mRNA codon recognition, and the 3' end, to which the tRNAs corresponding amino acid is attached (by aminoacyl-tRNA synthetases). tRNAs cope with the degeneracy of the genetic code in two manners: having more than one tRNA (with a specific anti-codon) for a particular amino acid; and 'wobble' base-pairing, i.e. permitting non-standard base-pairing at the 3rd anti-codon position.
Source: RNAcentral
GCCGAUGUGGCGGAAUUGGCAGACGCGCUGCGUUCAGGGCGCAGUUCUUUCAUCGGAGUGUGGGUUCGAAUCCCACCAUCGGCACCA